AACUGAUACUACCUGCGGGAACCUGCGGAAGGAUCAUUACUGAGUGAGGGCCCUCUGGGUCCAACCUCCCACCCGUGUUUAACGAACCUUGUUGCUUCGGCGGGCCCGCCUCACGGCCGCCGGGGGGCAUCCGCCCCCGGGCCCGCGCCCGCCGAAGACACCUGUGAACUCUGUCUGAAGUUGCAGUCUGAGAAACUAUUUAAAUUAGUUAAAACUUUCAGCAACGGAUCUCUAGAUCGG
RNAcentral lists this unclassified non-coding RNA (240 nucleotides) under soil metagenome. RNAcentral's name for it is "partial contains 5.8S ribosomal RNA, internal transcribed spacer 2, and large subunit ribosomal RNA". The record is from RNAcentral.